CCUACGGGUGGCAGCAGUGAGGAAUAUUGGUCAAUGGACGAGAGUCUGAACCAGCCAAGUAGCGUGAAGGAUGACUGCCCUAUGGGUUGUAAACUUCUUUUAUAUGGGAAUAAAACGUUCCACGUGUGGGAUUUUGUAUGUACCCUAUGAAUAAGGAUCGGCUAACUCCGUGCCAGCAGCCGCGGUAAGACGGGGGUUGCGAGCGUUAUCCGGAUUUAUUGGGUUUAAAGGGUGCGUAGGCGGGAUGUCAAGUCAGCGGUCAAAUACGGGGGCUCAACCUGCCUCCGUCGUUGAAACUGGCGUUCUUGAGUGGGCGAGAAGUACGCGGAAUGCGUGGUGUAGCGGUGAAAUGCAUAGAUAUCACGCAGAACCCCGAUUGCGAAGGCAGCGUACCGGCGCGCGACUGACGCUGAGGCACGAAAGCGUGGGUAUCGAACAGGAUUAGAUACCCUUGUAGUC
This 459-nucleotide ribosomal RNA is filed under the name uncultured bacterium. RNAcentral describes it as "partial 16S ribosomal RNA". It matches the Rfam family "Bacterial small subunit ribosomal RNA", at positions 338 to 795 of the family's 1533-position model. The record is from RNAcentral.